This 496-nucleotide ribosomal RNA is filed under the name uncultured bacterium. RNAcentral's name for it is "partial 16S ribosomal RNA". It matches the Rfam family "Bacterial small subunit ribosomal RNA", at positions 28 to 506 of the family's 1533-position model. The record is from RNAcentral.
GAUGAACGCUGGCGGCGUGCCUAAUACAUGCAAGUCGAGCGAACAGACGAGGAGCUUGCUCCUCUGACGUUAGCGGCGGACGGGUGAGUAACACGUGGAUAACCUACCUAUAAGACUGGGAUAACUUCGGGAAACCGGAGCUAAUACCGGAUAAUAUAUUGAACCGCAUGGUUCAAUAGUGAAAGACGGUUUUGCUGUCACUUAUAGAUGGAUCCGCGCCGCAUUAGCUAGUUGGUAAGGUAACGGCUUACCAAGGCAACGAUGCGUAGCCGACCUGAGAGGGGGAUCGGCCACAAUGGAACUGAGACACGGUCCAGACUCCUACGGGAGGCAGCAGUAGGGAAUCUUCCGCAAUGGGCGAAAGCCUGACGGAGCAACGCCGCGUGAGUGAUGAAGGUCUUCGGAUCGUAAAACUCUGUUAUUAGGGAAGAACAAAUGUGUAAGUAACUAUGCACGUCUUGACGGUACCUAAUCAGAAAGCCACGGCUAACUACGU